UAAUAAAUAGUAUAACUGGAAGUACGGGGAGUUUUGGGCUCCCUGGUGCGGGCCCGCGUCCCGUUUUAUUAG
RNAcentral lists this transfer RNA (72 nucleotides) under Pristurus rupestris rupestris. Its description in RNAcentral is "tRNA-Gln". Lineage: Eukaryota; Metazoa; Chordata; Lepidosauria; Squamata; Sphaerodactylidae. The record is from RNAcentral.